Molecule: long non-coding RNA, 154 nt
Organism: Priapulus caudatus
Lineage: Eukaryota; Metazoa; Priapulida; Priapulimorpha; Priapulimorphida; Priapulidae
Exons: 3
Source: RefSeq, a predicted model, not a curated record
CUGGACGAAUCACUGUUAGCGGCUACAUGCGUUCGAAGGUGCAUUGGCGCUAUUUUUCGGAUCAUUGAACAUCGUCCUAGCUCUGCUCGUGCAGCUAGUUGGAGGCAGCAUAAUCGAGAUAACUUUGGUUUUUAUUAGGAGAUGGUGGGUGGCC